Molecule: ribosomal RNA, 460 nt
Filed under: uncultured bacterium
Lineage: Bacteria
Description: partial 16S ribosomal RNA
Rfam family: Bacterial small subunit ribosomal RNA
Source: RNAcentral
CCUACGGGUGGCAGCAGUGAGGAAUAUUGGUCAAUGGCCGAGAGGCUGAACCAGCCAAGUCGCGUGAGGGAAGAAUGUCCUAUGGAUUGUAAACCUCUUUUGUCAGGGAGCAAAGUCACCCACGUGUGGGUGUUGGAGAGUACCUGAAGAAAAAGCAUCGGCUAACUCCGUGCCAGCAGCCGCGGUAAUACGGAGGUGGCAAGCGUUGUCCGGAUUUACUGGGUGUAAAGGGCGUGUAGCCGGGUUGACAAGUCAGAUGUGAAAUCCUGCGGCUUAACCGCAGAACUGCAUUUGAAACUGUUGAUCUUGAGUACUGGAGAGGCAGAUGGAAUUCCUAGUGUAGCGGUGAAAUGCGUAGAUAUUAGGAGGAACACCAGUGGCGAAGGCGGUCUGCUGGACAGCAACUGACGGUGAGGCGCGAAAGCGUGGGGAGCAAACAGGAUUAGAUACCCGAGUAGUC